GACGUAGGGCGCGAGCGUUGUCCGGAUUUAUUGGGCGUAAAGAGCUCGUAGGCGGCUUGUCGCGUCGAAUGUGAAAUUUUAGGGCUCAACCCUGACAUUGCAUUCGAUACGGGCAGGCUUGAGUUCGGUAGGGGAGACUGGAAUUCCUGGUGUAGCGGUGAAAUGCGCGGAUAUCAGGAGGAACACCGGUGGCGAAGGCGAGUCCCUGGACAACUUCUGACGCUGAGGCACGAAAGCUAGGGGAGCAAACAGG
Molecule: ribosomal RNA, 253 nt
Filed under: uncultured bacterium
Lineage: Bacteria
Description: partial 16S ribosomal RNA
Rfam family: Bacterial small subunit ribosomal RNA
Source: RNAcentral